UUUAUAUACAAUAAAUAUAUGGAGAACUCUUAAUUUCCAUUUUCCUGUAUAUUUCAAAGGCAAAGAGACAACAUUACCAGAAGUUAAUAAUCAUAACAAAUUGUGCAAAUACCUAUGACCCUACCAGACAGAGGAACUGGCAUCUACACCUGAUCAGUAUCCCAAACUGCACCUUGUUGCUGUUGCUGUUUUGUCUGUAGACUAAUGGUGCUAGAAAUUAUGAAUAUUUUCAUCUUGUAUAGGAGUGAAAGGAGCUUCUCCAAGGAUUGAGUUUAACUUGCUCCAUUGAGGAUGAAAAUUCCAGACACAAGGAAGCUAAGUCUAUGGUGACUGCCCUCUGCAGCAUAGCAGAACAUAGGAGAUGCAAACAGACCAAGGACAAACACCUUUGGGAAGAAUUUCCACCUGCCAGUGUGGCAAAACUCCGGAGAGGACAAGGAUAGGCAUUUAUCAUCAUCUUUCCAGAGAAUGCUACAGGAAGCAAUUACUACCACGUUUACAGCCCAUUCAGGAGGGAAUCCUGCACCACAAUCUGGCUGUUUACGUGCUAAGCAAGGAUUUCUACAAAGACUAAACAAGGUAAUAACAUGAAGACAAAAAUUAAACCUGGUGGAUAGUUUUUGUUAUUUGCUG
Peromyscus eremicus (cactus mouse) is the source of this 633-nucleotide long non-coding RNA. RefSeq lists it as uncharacterized. The transcript has 3 exons. Lineage: Eukaryota; Metazoa; Chordata; Mammalia; Rodentia; Cricetidae. The record is from RefSeq and is a predicted model, not a curated record.